CCGAAACGGAGACGAGUGUGGUAGUGACUGGGUUUCACGACUUUGCCGUCAGUGGCGAAUAAUCUCCGUGGCAACCGCCUUCUGACGUCAAGGGUUCUUGACGUCAUGCCAGCAUGAGAUCACCCGUGGCACUCCCCGCCUUGGUUUCCUGUGUCAGCAGCCAAAGGAAAAGGCCAAGAAAGGCAAGGAAGACCAGAGAUUAUGUGUGUAAGGACUUUUCGGCUGACUCAGGGUGCCAUGGAUGCCAUGUUAACCUCUGUGACCUGCAGGGACAUUCCAGAUGACUUCCUGGAAAAUCUAAGUAACUGGAAGACCAUGAAAAGAAGAAGAAAUGAUCAACCCCUGCCAUGCCUACUUUGAGACAUUCUCUAUUGUUCCUUAUUCCUGCCCUAAUUGAUAAGGCCAUUGGAUUUUAUAACUGACCUUGGUCAACCUCGUGAUUCCACACUCUAGGACCCUCUCCCAGCUUGCAAACCUAUGAUCCCCUCCCAGAUUACAAAAAACCUCCCUAAACUGUAACUUUCCACUGCCCACUCAAACCUAUAAAACCAACUCCUCCUAUAAUCCCGGCUACUUAGGAGGCUGAGGCAGAAGAAUCACAUGAACCUGGGAGACAGAGGUUGCAGUGAGUCGAGAUCACACCACUGCACUUCACCCUGGGUAGCAGAGCGAGACUCUGUCUCAAAAACAAAAAAAAACUAACUCCUAUCCCACUGCCCUUCACUGAUGCCGUUUUCAGCCUCAGCCUACCUGCACCCAGGUGAAUAAACAGCCAUGUUGCUCACACAAAGCCUGUUUGAGAGUCUCUUCAUUUAGAGCAUGUGUUUUAACAAUGUGGUUUGCCAAAUUUUAUCAGCCAGUUACUAGGAGAACCAGGGCUACAAUCCAUGCCUCCUCCUUUCCACCUUCCCUCUGUUUUUCCUGGAAUAGCAGAAACAGAAAACAGCCACUAGAGGGGUAUUGUAUGCCUGUGGUUGCACACAGAUUCUGAUGUCAGACUACCCAGUUUCAAAUCUCAGAUCUGUUAUAUGGUAGCUGUGUGAUUUUGGCCAAGUACUCUAACUGCUCUGUAUUUCAGUUUUUUCAUCUACAUAAUGGAGGGCAUAAUAGUAUCGACUUCAGUGAAUUAAUAUACUUAAAGCAGUAUAUUACACUUGGCACACUGAGUGACCAGAAAUCUGUUACUAUUUAGCACACACUCUGCUAGCUGCUGAUACAACAAAUAUUUAGAGGCCAGGGAUUUUGCCCACAGCUGUUUUUGUUUGAUCUGAAGUUAAAAGAACACAAACAAAACAAAAUAAAAAAUGUCACUUGAGAUAACGUUUACAAUUCUGGAUAUUUCACACAGAGAUCCAAAUUUCCGGUUUCUCUUUGAAAUCAGAAGGUCUGAUAUCAGUAAGCCAAAAUUCUAGGCCAGUACCAAUUGGCUGGGGCCAAUUUAAUCCAUACCAGUCAUGUAAAGCUUCCAUCUUAACUUGACCUGUCUGACUACUGCAUGCCUUUGUAUUUGCAUUUCAGAUUAAGAAAACCUCUGCUCUCAAGGAACUCACAAUCCAAUAGGUGAGAUGCAUUUGCUAAACAAUGUACAAUCUAUUGUGAUAGGAACGAGUAUAAAGUUGCAAAUUUCAAAAUACAGCAGUAGCCUGAAGAAACAGGAGUGCCUUGAAUGGUAGAGGUGCUGAUGGUGAUGUGUGUUGUCUAAAAAGUGGCUUUGAAAAAGAAAAGGAGAGGAAUGGGGUUGUAAAGGAAACAGAAUGUGCAAAGACAUCGAAAUGGGAAAUGGCUUGUGUGUUUAGAAACUAUAAGAAGUUCGAUUUUGGAGAAUACUGUACAAUGAG
RNAcentral lists this long non-coding RNA (1838 nucleotides) under Callithrix jacchus (white-tufted-ear marmoset). RNAcentral describes it as "lncRNA (ENSCJAG00000083340.1)". Lineage: Eukaryota; Metazoa; Chordata; Mammalia; Primates; Cebidae. The record is from RNAcentral.